This 400-nucleotide ribosomal RNA is filed under the name uncultured bacterium. RNAcentral's name for it is "bacterial SSU rRNA". It matches the Rfam family "Bacterial small subunit ribosomal RNA", at positions 355 to 747 of the family's 1533-position model. The record is from RNAcentral.
UGGGGAAUAUUGGACAAUGGGGGCAACCCUGAUCCAGCGAUGCCGCGUGGGUGAAGAAGGCCUUCGGGUUGUAAAGCCCUUUAGGUUGGGAAGAAGUAUAUGGAGUGAAUAUCUCUGUAUAUUGACGGUACCGACAGAAUAAGCACCGGCAAACUCUGUGCCAGCAGCCGCGGUAAUACAGAGGGUGCGAGCGUUAAUCGGAGUUACUGGGCGUAAAGGGCGCGUAGGCGGUGAGAUGAGUGUGAUGUGAAAGCCCUGGGCUUAACCUAGGAAGUGCAUCGCAAACGAUCUUGCUGGAGUAUAAGAGAGGGUGUCGGAAUUUCCGGUGUAGCGGUGAAAUGCGUAGAGAUCGGAAGGAACGUCAAUGGCGAAGGCAGACACCUGGCUUAAUACUGACGCU